GUGCUUGCUUCAGCAGCACAUAUACUAAAAUUGGAACUUUACAAAGGUGAUUAGCAUGUCCCUUGAACAAGGAUGA
RNAcentral lists this small nuclear RNA (76 nucleotides) under Jaculus jaculus (lesser Egyptian jerboa). Lineage: Eukaryota; Metazoa; Chordata; Mammalia; Rodentia; Dipodidae. The record is from RNAcentral.